GUCGCUAGCGUGUAGACAUUUAUUUCACUUCCUCCCGUCCUCAGAUGUUUAGGUGUUCGUUCUUUUUGUGCACAAAGCUUGCACUGGACCAUGUCCGGUGUUGGCGAGCUUUUGAGCAAAUCAAGGCAGAAAGAGGAGAGGUUGAGAAAGACGAAGGAGUUUCUAGCCAAGCAUCUCCAUGACCGCUUAUUUGUGGACUACUUCAAUGUUUUUCUCAACUUGCCGGUGUUUGGUCAAAGAAUGCUGUUUAAGCUGCACGAUGGAGACUUUAUAUUUGACCCUCCAGUUUUCACAGGAGUGAUUCAUGACAGGAUAGUAGCAUGGAUAGCUGCGCGCAGGUUUCACCUGUUUACAAAGACACACCUCUUUCUGGAAUAUCAGCUGUGCCAUAAACUGAAAAACCUCGACUUUGAGCUGCGGUUCAGGGAUUCCGAUUGCGACAGGCGGACCCAUCAUGUACUGCAGGUGUUCGCAAACAACCUGCUGGGUAGCGUGGCUGGAAUGUACCUGUUCCGUGAGCACCUCCGGAACUCCUCCGGCUCGAAAGUUUUUGGGUGCUGGCUACAUGUGCAACGAUUCCGACAGACGCGCAACUUGACCAAACGACGCGAGAUAUUCCACGAGAUCCAGCAGUGCUAUCUCCUAGCUACGGCGUUUCACAAGCUGUCCAACAGGCUGUGCAGAGUAGUGGCCGUGGAGCUCCUGUCUUUUCCUGUGGUGCCGCAUUCUGAAACGGAGCUGUCAGCGCGACUUACGACUGAUCACUAUGUGCCCUCAUGCGAAGUCGACCUCUCGUCACCUAAGGCCUUGGGACUGGUGCAUCGAGUGCUUCUGGAAGCCUUGCGCGCUUACUGGGCUCCUUGUUACGUCAUGCAUGUGCUCUCCACCCAGCCCUUUUCAAUAUUAAAGGAACUGUUUAGGGUUCCAAAAGGGACAGAUCUGAAGAUGCUGAUUAGAAGAUGUACCCUUUUCAAAGUCUCGGGUGACCUAGGUUCAUCUCCAAAAGAUAAUGCCCUUUCCGGUAAAGACGACUUGAACAUGCCAUCUUCUUCAUCGAUGUUGUUGACAUUAUCUUCCUCUUCCACGCAUAUCACCCAUAGUACCCAGGAAACCACGUUGACGUACCUACCAUAUCUGCAAUCUUCAACCGAACCAUCGAGAAUUUUGGCGCUAGCAACCAGACAUCAACUGCAUCUUGAAAAUACAGGUUUCAUUGUGCCAGAACUUCCAAGUAGAGAAAAAACGCAAGGACGAGACACUCUGUUUCAGGACGACACCAAUGAUGGGGAACUAACAGAGAUGUGUGUUGAAGAAAGGCUGCUGGACACAGAAUGUUAUUGCGACAAUUCUGAACGAGAAAGUAGACGACACGAAGAGAAACAGGAGGCCAAGGUGUCAGACGAGAUGGAAGAUGAAGACGACAGUAAGGUCAGGUUGAACCUGACGAGACUGGCCCUGAAAGAGAUGGCCAUCAAGCCCGAACCCAUGCUUUACCUCAACCAGCUGCUGCGGCAUUACCUCUUCGGCUAUCGACACCUGAACCAAGAGGAGCCAGUGACUGACAGGCGAACCCUGUGCCUGCUGGCUUGCGACGACUUGGCCGGCAGUCCGUUCCGUUCUUACCUGCGUGGUCAGGCCCAGCAGCUGUAUUUGAGCUACUUUGACUUCUGGUCAGCUAUGCGCCGGUAUCAGCAGUUGCAUGACCUUAACCAAAUGGAGGAAAUUAUGCAUUCCAAGAGCUGCUCCAUGAUCGCCGACGCGCAUAGACAACAUAUCCAUUAUAUGGUAAACAGAUUUCUGAUAGACAGUGGUGUUGAUGCCAACAUCUUAGGCUGUAAGAUUCGGCUGAGUCUUCUGGAGGACAUCAGAAAAGCCAGAUGGUCACCACUCAUCAACUCAACAUUGGACGUCGUGUCCAAUGUACUCAGUAUCCCCAUGACGCAGUUCAUCCUUUACGACAGACAAGAUUUUCGAAAGCACGCGAUGGAUUCAAGCAACCCUUUGCCUAACUUAGAACAGGAUUCACAAGCUGAGAACAUAAUGGCAUCGGACCUUCCAAUGCAGAUACCUUCAGCUUCAUUGCGAACAUUUGCUGAUCGUCGCUGUCUCUCCGAUCCCUGGAGAGAGGAUCCCAAACACGAUCCAGAUGGAGACAUGGAAUGUCUGCGACCCACGGAUCCUCGUGGCACCAAGUAUAACGGCGUUGUGGGUGUCCUGGGCGAACAGCAUCGCUUGCUGGCCUUUCAGUUUCUUAUCGUCCUGCGAGAAGAUCUGCCAGACGCACAGGUCUGUGAUGUGGCUUCUUUGGCAAGAAUUGUGGGGUCUGACUAUGGUAGCCUGCACAUUCCUUUCUCGGCUCCUGUCACUCACAGAUUUUUGGCCAGUCUUCGACCAAAACAGCGAAUGUCCAGGGCGACGUUACUAAAACCAUCGCCUUUGAUGGAAGAUUUCCUUUCCCCUGUAAUCAAUAGGUUGGGGCCUAUGCAUACUUUAACAAUGAACGAUCUCUUGGAAUAUAGAAGAAAAAGAAGUGAACUGGUGCUUAAACUUCCAAGAACCCCAAGAAAAUUUUUGGACAUCUUAGCACACGAGACGCAGUUCAACGUUUUCAAGAAGUAUUUAGAGCUGAAGGGUCAGUUGAAAGCAGUCUCUUUUGUCGAGGAUGUGCAGGACGCCUUGCGGCUCCUGGAUCAAGCAGAGCAGGAGUCAAUGGUCGCCGGCAUCAUAGAACAGUAUUUCGGGGAUGGUGAGAGGAUUUUGAACAUUCAAGAAAACCAGUCUAUAGCAGUUAUCAUUGUUGAAAGUCCAAACCUGGAAAACCUAUGUUCAGCUCAGUUAGCCUUGGAAAAACAGAUCGAAGAAAUAUGGUUUAACAAAUACGUUGAAGAGCUAGAACGACAUAAAGUAGACCUACCAACUCCCAAUGAGGAAACCUACAAAGAAGACUGGCUAGAAAACUUUCUUUUAGAACAAGAGGAAAAAACAAGAAUAGAGGCAGAAGAGAAUAAAAAGAGAUUACAGAAAAUAAAGAAACAGGAAGAAAAAUUAGAGAAAUUAGAGAAACAGAAAGAAAAGAGAAAAGGCAAGACAGAAAAAAGAGAAAAACACACAGAAAAGGGAAAAGUCAAGAAAGACAAAAGGGAAAAGCACGCAGAAAAGAUGGACGUAGAAGAAGCUAAAAAAAAUCAAGAGACCAUUAAAGACUUGGAGAGCACAGAUGAAAGCUCAGAUAGCUCAUAUAGCUCAGAUAGAGGAGAGGUAGAGAAGGGCGAAUGGAAGGAAGAAAAGGAACAUUUCAAAGAGAGAAAGAAAAAACCACAAGCUAAGAAGGGAAAAGAAAAGAAUCUCCAGGACAAGGAAGACGACAGAGCUAAACGCAAAAGGGACAGAAAGAACGAUAAACAAGAGAAACAGGUAGAUAAGGACAAAAGAGUCAGAGAGAGAAAAGAACACGAAUUUAAAGACCCGAAAGACGAGAAUGAAGAGAAAACAUCGGUCACUGAUACAGAAAGUGAAGAGGAACAGGACUACGAAGCCACAUCUUUCAGACAGGAGAUGUUAGACAGGGAAAAGCAAACCUUCGAAGAUUUUGAACAAAAGAAAAUACAGAAGAAGGAGAGGAGGGAACACGAUGAAAAAACAUCAUCGGGGGCAGCUAAACGCAAAAGGGACAGAAAGAACGAUAAACAAGAGAAACAGGUAGAUAAGGACAAAAGAGUCAGAGAGAGAAAAGAACACGAAUUUAAAGACCCGAAAGACGAGAAUGAAGAGAAAACAUCGGUCACUGAUACAGAAAGUGAAGAGGAACAGGACUACGAAGCCACAUCUUUCAGACAGGAGAUGUUAGACAGGGAAAAGCAAACCUUCGAAGAUUUUGAACAAAAGAAAAUACAGAAGAAGGAGAGGAGGGAACACGAUGAAAAAACAUCAUCGGGGGCAGCUUCUCUUAACCAAAUGACCUCAAAAAGACAGGCUAAAAUAUCGAAAGAAGAAGAUAGAAAAGUCAAAGACGAAUAUAAGAGUGGGGAAGAAGAUGAAGGAACAUCAUCCGGAACAGAUUCUCUGAACGAAAUGACCUCGAAAAGACUUACUGAAAUAUCGAAAGGAGAUAAAAAAAAGAAAAAAGAAAUCAUGGAGGAGAAAAAGAGAGAGUUGAAAAAGAAAAAAAAUAUACAGGAAAAAGUGGAUCGAUUGAAAGAGAACGAAAAGGAAGACAAGAAAUCAGACAUAUUAUUAAGUGAGACACCCACAGAUGCACAAGCUGCCAUAAAAGAAAAAAUACCUAAAGAAAAAAAAGAAAUACCAGAGGAAAUAGCAUACCAAGCAGAAGAAAGUAUCAAAAGCGAUAUUUUCGAAGAUAGUUCACUAACGCCAGAAUAUUUCGAACAUAUGGAACAAUCUGUUGAUUCAGCAGAAUCAUCAAUAUCAGUGUAUGAUAGGUCACAGGGUUUAAAAAGAAAGGCAAAGCCGAUUGAUUUAUGGCGACACGUGGUAAGAGAAAUGGUGAAGUUCACGAGUUCUCUGAUUAUACCACUUGAAAGAAAAUUAUUUGAAAUGUACCUCAAGCAAGAGCUCCAGAAUGCGAAGAAUCAUCUCACAUCAGACAAGGAAAUGAGAACGACUGACUCAGAAGGAAUCAAACACGCAGUGUAUACACGCAAGAUUUUGAAUGAUCUCAUCCAAGUCAACAAGCUGCCUGCGGACCUCCGCUUUUUUGUGGAAGCAGACAGGCAAGGGAGAUAGGUUGUCUAUCUCUAAGUAGGUCUAAAGCGAUUUGUUAGUUCUCCGUUUCCCCGAUGUAGGUCCUGAAGCUACUGGGAUAUCCAACAGAUUCAAGAAACAAAUAACAUCUCACUUAAAGUGUUCUACGGAAAUCGGGGUACCAAUCGAAAAGGAAAACCCAAUCCUGGGCAUGCGCGCCAAAGCCAUCAUUGAGUGCUUUUUCCAGUCCGUGUGUGAAC
RNAcentral lists this unclassified non-coding RNA (4961 nucleotides) under Pomacea canaliculata. Its description in RNAcentral is "uncharacterized LOC112576830, transcript variant X5". Lineage: Eukaryota; Metazoa; Mollusca; Gastropoda; Architaenioglossa; Ampullariidae. The record is from RNAcentral.